RNAcentral lists this ribosomal RNA (460 nucleotides) under uncultured bacterium. RNAcentral's name for it is "partial 16S ribosomal RNA". It matches the Rfam family "Bacterial small subunit ribosomal RNA", at positions 338 to 795 of the family's 1533-position model. The record is from RNAcentral.
CCUACGGGAGGCAGCAGUGAGGAAUAUUGGUCAAUGGGCGCGAGCCUGAACCAGCCAAGUAGCGUGAAGGAUGACUGCCCUACGGGUUGUAAACUUCUUUUAUAAAGGAAUAAAGUGAGGCACGUGUGCCUUUUUGUAUGUACUUUAUGAAUAAGGAUCGGCUAACUCCGUGCCAGCAGCCGCGGUAAUACGGAGGAUCCGAGCGUUAUCCGGAUUUAUUGGGUUUAAAGGGAGCGUAGAUGGGGUGUUAAGUCAGUUGUGAAAGUUUGCGGCUCAACCGUAAAAUUGCAAUUGAUACUGGCAGCCUUGAGUGCAGUUGAGGUAGGCGGAAUUCGUGGUGUAGCGGUGAAAUGCUUAGAUAUCACGAAGAACUCCGAGUGCGAAGGCAGCUUACUGGACUGCAACUGACGUUGAUGCUCGAAAGUGUGGGUAUCAAACAGGAUUAGAUACCCGAGUAGUC